CAGUAGCCACGGUAAUACGGAGGGUGCAAGCGUUGUCCGGAUUUAUUGGGUUUAAAGGGUGCGUAGGCGGCCUAAUAAGUCAGUGGUGAGAGCCUCCAGCUUAACUGGAGAACUGCCAUUGAUACUGUUAGGCUUGAGUAUACUUGAGGUAGGCGGAAUUGACAGUGUAGCGGUGAAAUGCAUAGAUAUUGUCAAGAACACCAAUUGCAAAGGCAGCUUACUAAAUUAUAACUGACGCUGAGGCACGAAAGUGUGGGUAUCAAACAGGAUUAGAUACCCCAGUAGUCCCUGUCUCUUAUAA
This 301-nucleotide ribosomal RNA is filed under the name uncultured bacterium. Its description in RNAcentral is "partial 16S ribosomal RNA". It matches the Rfam family "Bacterial small subunit ribosomal RNA", at positions 509 to 809 of the family's 1533-position model. The record is from RNAcentral.